AGGACGAACGCUGGCGGCGUGCUUAACACAUGCAAGUCGAGCGGAAAGGCCCUUCGGGGUACUCGAGCGGCGAACGGGUGAGUAACACGUGAGUAACCUGCCCCAGACUUUGGGAUAACCCUCGGAAACGGGGCUAAUACCGAAUAUGACACAGUCUCGCAUGGGAUCUGUGUGGAAAGUUUUUCGGUCUGGGAUGGACUCGCGGCCUAUCAGCUUGUUGGUGGGGUAAUGGCCUACCAAGGCGAGGACGGGUA
This 254-nucleotide ribosomal RNA is filed under the name uncultured soil bacterium. RNAcentral's name for it is "partial 16S ribosomal RNA". It matches the Rfam family "Bacterial small subunit ribosomal RNA", at positions 26 to 285 of the family's 1533-position model. The record is from RNAcentral.